GAUAAAAUUAAAUAAUGAUUACAAAUCACAAAUAACUAUUACAGUCAUGGCCAAAAAUAUUGGCACCCCUGCAUUUAUGUCAAAAAACACACCCCUUCUUCCAGAAAAUUGUUGCAAUUACAGAUGCUUUGGCAUUGUCAUAUUAAUUUCUCUUGUUGGCAAUUGAAGAAAACAAAAAGAGGAAGAAGGAAUAACAGGAAUGGGAGACAUUCCACGCCAAAGGGCACCUGCCCUUCUCAUAUUGUCUCAAAAACCCAAAGCCCCAGAGAGCAAGUCAGAGUGCUAAGAAUUAUAGCGCCAACAAGCCCAUGGCCCCUUUUCAUGUAAAACUUCGUAUAUGAGGAUGUUUGUGCAGUUUAGUGCCUCUCUUAGCCUCGGCUCCUGUAAAUCAUAUAAGCACACCCACCACACCCCCAGGAGCAUUCCGCGUGCCCCCACCUGCCAACCUGCCUGUCCCCCCCAGCCCACAGGCCGUCUGUUGUUCUGAAAUUUAUCCACAUGACUCCUGACCAAGUCUAAGGUAAAUCAGAUUCCAUCUAUUAGAAAUGAAAUUUUCAGUAAAAUACAAAUUUUUCCCCCAAUCUGGGAGACAGUGCAGAAUUUUUGGAGUCGGUCCUAACUCUGUCUUGAAUAUGUACCCAGCAGGCACCUAGGACUGGUAUCUCCCUCUGAGAAUCUUUCUAAGGCGCUCAGCAGCAGAAAUUCUCCAUCCUAGAUGAGCCUGCAAAGUUCUGUAGAAGUUAAAUAUACUUUAGUCAAAUGAGAGACUAACCUGUUGUCAGGCAGGGGAAGCUUGAACAAGGCCUUCAUUCAUGACAGCUCCACUUGGCUUUUUGACGAGUCCCCAUUUAGAUGCAGCACGUCAGAGACUGAAGAGCAGGAUGAAGGCUAAAUUCUCUCAAGAAAGAAGUUGCCUCUUACCAUGUCACAAGCAAUUAGUUUCACCCAAAAAGGAGGAGGACCCCUCUCUGCUCCCCGUGUUAAAAAACAAUACACCGCCUCACAGGCCAGAGCCACAGCCUUCUCCUCUCUGCUGGGUGGAAGAACAACUCUCAC
Long non-coding RNA from Brienomyrus brachyistius, 1056 nucleotides. RefSeq lists it as uncharacterized. The transcript is spliced from 3 exons. The record is from RefSeq and is a predicted model, not a curated record. Lineage: Eukaryota; Metazoa; Chordata; Actinopteri; Osteoglossiformes; Mormyridae.